GACGAACGCUGGCGGCGUGCCUAACACAUGCAAGUCAACUUGACUGAAGGAGCAAUCUGACAGUAGAGUGGCGCAAGGGUGCGUAACGCGUAAGUAACUUGCCCAAGGUAAGGAAUAACGUCGAGAAUCGGCGCUAAUACCUCAUAAUGCAGCGGAUCCGCAUGGAUAUGUUGUUAAAGGUUUACCGCCUUGGGAUAGGCUUGCGUCUGAUUAGCUAGUUGGUGUGGUAACGGCACACCAAGGCUACGAUCAGUAACUGGUCUGAGAGGAUGAUCAGUCACACUGGAACUGAGACACGGUCCAGACUCCUACGGGAGGCAGCCAAUGAGGAAUAUUGGGCAAUGCUCGAAAGAGUGACCCAGCAACGCCGCGUGGAGGAUGAAGGUAUUCUAUAUCGUAAACUCCUGUGAGAGCAGACGAAAGACAGAUUAUUAAUCUGGAUGACCGUAUGCUCAGAGGAAG
Molecule: ribosomal RNA, 462 nt
Filed under: uncultured bacterium
Lineage: Bacteria
Description: bacterial SSU rRNA
Rfam family: Bacterial small subunit ribosomal RNA
Source: RNAcentral